GGGCCUUCGGCAGCACAUAUACUAAAAUUGGAACGAUACAGAGAAGAUUAGCAUGGCCCCUGUGCAUGUGACUUGUUUUUAUGCUCCAUGGUGCCUAUUUUU
Small nuclear RNA from Peromyscus leucopus (white-footed mouse), 102 nucleotides. NCBI's taxonomy places the organism in Eukaryota, Metazoa, Chordata, Mammalia, Rodentia, Cricetidae. The record is from RefSeq and is a predicted model, not a curated record.